GAGGGGGGAUGGGGUGGAGUAAAAAUUGCUCGUACUGAAUCUUCAGCUUUUAAAAAAAUAGAGAGAGAGAGACAAAUGCUGCUGUUAUCUUAUCACGUGUCUGGUUGUAGUGGGCUGGUCAUAGACUCGUCAUAAUACCGGGCGUCAUAUAGCAACCAGAUUUUGGCCGUGUUACUCGCGCUCUCUCCGUCAAUGAAAAAUCACGCCGCUUUUUUAUCUGCUCGAGGUACCGAGGGUUGGACGUUUAAUAUUCGCGGUGGAGGAAGGGAAAAAAAUGCUUAAUUAAAAACCGCUAUGAGGAGAGGGGAGAAUGAGAGUCAACGGACCCCGUUCUUUUAAAAUUGUCUCAUAAUUUCUGACGUCUACCUAACUAGAGGGCUAGGGAGUAUUAACCGCUCAGUGAGCUUUUGCACUUGACUGCCGUUUCAGACUUUAUGCUCCAGUGCCUAGAAUCAACAUUAUUUUUUAAUCGUUAUGCGAAAAUUUUCCUUCACCUUACAAAAUUAAUUUAAACACAGAACAAGAGAAAUUCGGUGGCUAUACAGUGAACAGUAUCACCUUUUGUUGGAUGUAUCCCCUUUACUAGCUAGUGGAUCUUUCAGCUUAACCAUGUUGUCGCCACAAUUGAGUGAAUUUGAUAUUCUACAGAAUAUGGGGAUGGAAGCGAGUACACCCUUUUCACGUCCAUCCCCGCGACGAGCAAAUUCGGCAGGACCUCGGUCUAACAACACCUCCAAAAUUGACCCCAGCUUCAAGUCCAAACGGUACCGGGACAAACUCCGGGAACAGAUUAAAGCUUUAGAGAACCUUCUACCAGUCGACAAGGCUACACUUCACAGGAAACUGGACAGUCAGACCGUCUUUAGACUUGCCAUCUCUUUCUUCAGGAUUAAGAGUUUCAUAGCAGGUAAGUAACGUCACUUUACCAAUAGCUAUUCCUACAACUUUACUCAUUGACAUUUUAGUCCACCAUUUUUUCCCGCUUUGAAAUUUAUUUUAUGCCUAUACUCAGUCGCUUGUAACUUGAGGCCCAUCCAUUGUGUCAAAAGGGUUAAAAUAUAUUGGCAGUAAAAUCAUAUCUUCGAUACACAAAACAAUAUGGCUAUAGAAUCGCUGUCUUGUAUAUGCUUUUGCGAAGGGUUUGGGUUAUGAGACAAAAUGUCUUUUAAAAGUUAAGCAUAUUACGAGUGAUGUCUCUAUUAUAUUCGAUCCGUCUGACAUGAUAUUUGAUUGUAUUCACUUUCAAUACAUCAGUUCCUUUAAUUGAAAGAAAAAAGAAGUUUCUGUACUCAUUCAUCGGUGAUUGUAAGCUAAGAUCCUAUAUUAACGUACAAGCUUUGCCAACAAUUCAUUUUUAGGAAAUGAAAAUAAAGAUGCCCAAAGAUGUUAAUCGAGGCGAAUUGUUUGUACGAUAUAAGAGAUUCAAUAUUUAUAUUUAGUCAUAGAUUUAUAUCAUGUAGAUAUUUAUUUAAAAAAACUGAAAUAACUUAGAUAAAGAGAAAGAAUAAAAGAACUACCCUUAUCUUAUAUGUUUCGAAAAGUAAAAAGGAAAGUAUUAUUAUAUGUGUCACCAAUUUAAAACCUGACAAAACAUGACAAGUAAAAAAAAAAA
Molecule: long non-coding RNA, 1612 nt
Filed under: Strongylocentrotus purpuratus (purple sea urchin)
Lineage: Eukaryota; Metazoa; Echinodermata; Echinoidea; Camarodonta; Strongylocentrotidae
Description: uncharacterized LOC115927277
Source: RNAcentral